AGAGAGGAUACACAUAGAAGUGUGCAAUGCUUUCUCAGCUCCUGUUUGUGGGGCUUAUCAUGCUACACUUCACUAGGAUGCUAGAAGGAUAUCUGUGAGUAUGAUGAUUUCAUUAUGUAUGUAUGUCUAAAAGAAGCAGAUGGUACCAUGAAAGAUACUUUUUAUUAUAUUUUCCUUUUUAUUUAAACAUUACAUUUUAACUAACACUUGGAGAUCCACUAUGAUCACACACAUUCUCCUGUCUUCAAAUGCUUUGUGAAAACUCUCACAGUGACAUGGGAUCAACCAGCACUCUUGGCAUUGUGGGAUAUCCAGCAAGCCAUUAGUUGGUGGGCCGAUUAGUGAUGUCGCGAACAUAAAAUUUUCGGUUCGGGAACAGCAAACGGGCGAACCGGGCGAACCGCCAUAGACUUCAAUAGGCAGGCGAAUUUUAAAACCCACAGGGACUCUUUCUGGCCACAAUAGUGAUGGAAAAGUUGUUUCAAGUGGACUAACACCUGGACUGUGGCAUGCCGGAGGGGGAUCCAUGGCAAAACUCCCAUGGAAAAUUACAUUGUUGAUGCAGAGUCUGGUUUUAAUCCAUAAAGGACAUAAAUCACCUAACAUUCCUAAAUUGUUUGGAAUAACGUGCUUUAAAACAUCAGGUAUGAUGUUGUAUUGAUCAGGUAGUGUAAGGGUUACGUCCGCUUCACAGUGACAGACCAAACUCCCCGUUUAACGCACCGCAAACAACCGCAAACAGUCCAUUUGCACAACCGCAAAACCAUUUGCACAAGGUUGGAUACCAAGCUAGCCAUGUCCCGUUCCUUGUCCUCACUGAUGUCAUUGAAGGUCUCUUCCUCCACCCAGCCACGUACAACACCAAGGGUCCCCAAAAGGUUACAACAAGCCCCCUGGGACGCCUGCUGUGUUUGGUCUUCCACCUCCUCAAAGCCACCUUCCUCCUCUGACUCCUCUUCUUCAGACUGCUCUCUCUGCAUUGCCUCUCUCUGCAUUAUUAUAAGGUGUGUUAAGUAGUACUAUUCCUAUCUGUUUAAUCCCUGUUAUGUCUCCUAUCAGGGGACGUGUAUAUGGCAUCGAUUUUAGGAACCGGGAGAUGGAAAAAGAUGCUUGGUCGGUCCUCCUACUUCAAAUUUGGGGCACUGCCGUGCAAUCUAAUGUGCCACCAGAUAGGAGUGGUGUGUUAAGUAGUACUAUUCUUAUCAGUUUAAUCCCUGUUACGUCCCCUAUCAGGGGACGUGUAUAUGGCAUCGAUUUUAGGAACCGGGAGAUGGAAAAAGAUGCUUGGUCGGUCCUCCUUCUUCAAAUUUGGGGCACUACGCAUGCAAUCUAAUGUGCCACCAGAUAGGAGUGGUGUGUUAAGUAGUACUAUUCUUAUCAGUUUAAUCCCAAUGUCACGACUACUAGUGUGGUCCAGCACGCAGAAACUAUGUAAACAUAUACAUAGGCAAGAAAAGGAAAAUAAAAGGACAGAGCGUAAACCGGACCUUAGAAUGGCCGGACUAAUACGCUAUAGCCAGAGAAUGGUCAAAGGGAAAGCCGAGGUCAAGGAAGCAAGAAAAUACACAAUACCAUUUACACAAGCCAAGUCAGGGAAACCAGAAUUCAAAAUAACCAGGGAAAAGCCAAGAUCAGGAUACCAGGAAAUCAGAUUCACAAUGAUAAAGCACUCUCAGGAAACCAGGAACAGGAAACCACGACAGGGCAAGGUACUGGGGUGAGCUAGGGAUUUAAAUAUCACGCGGCGGGCCGGCAGCCGCGACACCCUGUUACGUCCCCCUCAUCAGGCCUUUUUUUAGUCGAAUGUAUCGCCCACUGUCAGUCCCUUCGGGAUCCAUCCCUCAUUCAUCUUAAUAAAGGUAAGGUAAUUUAGACUUUUUUGACCUAGGCGACUUCUCUUCUCAGUGACAAUACCUCCUGCUGCACUGAAGGUCCUUUCUGACAGGACACUUGAAGCAGGGCAGGCCAGAAGUUCUAUCACAAAUUGGGAUAGCUCAGGCCACAGGUCAAGCCUGCACACCCAGUAGUCAAUGGGUUCAUCGCUCCUCAGAGUGUCGAUAUCUGCAGUUAAGGCGAGGUAGUCUGCUACCUGUCGGUCGAGUCAUUCUCUGAGGGUGGACCCCGAAGGGCUGUGGCGAUGCAUAGGACUUAAAAAGCUCCACAUGUCCUCCAUCAACAGCGUCCUGUCCUUGCCGGCGUGGUCGUGGGAGGAGGAGGAUUACUUUCACCUCUUCCCCUGAUAGAUUCCUGUUGUGCUGUGACAUCACCCUUAUACGCUGUGUAAAGCAUACUUUUUAAUUGAUUUUGGAACUGCUGCAUCCUUUCCGACUUGCCGUAAUUCGGUAACAUUUUAGGCACUUUCUGCUUAUACCGGGGGUCUAGUAGCGUGGACACCCAGUACAGGUCGUUCUCCUUCAGCCUUUUUAUACGAGGGUUCCUCAACAGGCACGACAGCAUGAAAGACCCCAUUUGCACAAGGUUGGAUGCCGAGCUACUCAUGUCCUGUUCCUCGUCCUCAGUGAUCUCACUGAAGGUAUGUUCUUCCCCCCAGCCACGUACAACACCACGGGUACCAGAUAGGUGGCAACGAGCACCCUGGGAUGCCUGUUGUGGUUGGUCUUCCUCCUCCUCCUCAAAGACACAUUCCUCCUCUGACUCCUCUUCCUCACAAUCCUCUUCCAGCGUUGCCGCAGGUCCAGCAAGCGAUGCUGAUAAGGCUGUUUCUGGUGGUGAUGGUGACCAUAACUCUUCCUCUUCCUCUUCACGCUCAUCUACGGCCUGAUCAGCACUCUUCGCAGGGCACGCUCCAGGAAGAAAACAAAUGGUAUGAUGUCGCUGAUGGUGCCUUCAGUGCGACUGACUAGGUUUGUCACCUCCUCAAAAGGACGCAUGAGCCUACAGGCAUUGCACAUGAGCGUCCAGUAAUGUGGCAAAAAAAUUCCCAGCUCCGCAGAGGCUGUCCUAGCACCCCGGUCAUACAAAUAUUCAUUAACGGCUUUUUCUUGUUGGAGCAGGCGGUCGAACAUUAGGAGUGUUGGAUUCCAACAUGUCGGGCUGUCGCAAAUCAAGCGCCUCACUGGCAUGUUUUUUCGCCGCUGGAUAUCCGAAAAGUGCGCCAUAGCCGUGUAGGAACGCCUGAAAUGGCCACACACCUUUCUGGCCUGCUUCAGCACGUCCUGUAAGCCUGGGUACUUAUGCACAAAGCGUUGUACGAUCAGAUUACACACGUGUGCCAUGCACGGCACAUGUGUCAACUUGCCCAAAUGCAAUGCCGCCAACAAAUUUCUUCCGUUGUCACAAACCACUUAGCAGAUCUCCAGUUGGUGUGGAGUCAGCCACUGAUCCACCUGUGCGUUCAGGGCAGACAGGAGUGCUGGUCCGGUGUGACUCUCUGCUUCCAGGCAAGUCAACCCCAAGAUGGCGUGACACUGCCGUAUCCGGGAUGUGGAAUAGUACCUGGGGAGCUGGGGGGGUGCCGUUGAUGUGGAGCAAGAAGCAGCAGCAGAAGAGGACUCAGCCGAGGAGGUUAUGGAAGAGGAUGGAGUAGGAGGAGUAGAGGAGGUGGCAGCAGGCCUGCCUGCAAGUCGUGGCGGUGUCACCAACUCCUCUGCAGAGCCACGCAUUCCAUGCUUGGCAGCCAUCAGCAGGUUUACCCAAUGCGCAGUGUAGGUAAUAUACCUGCCCUGACCAUGCUUUGCAGACCAGGUAUCAGUGGUCAGAUGGACCCUUGCCCCAACACUGUGUGCCAGACAUGCCAUUACUUCUUUUUGCACAAUUGAGUACAGGUUGGGGAUUGCCUUUUGUGCAAAGAAAAUUUGGCCGGGUACCUUCCACUGCGGUGUCCCAAUAUCUACAAAUUUUUUGAACGCCUCAGACUCCACCAGCUUGUAUGGUAAAAGCUGGCGGGCUAAGAGUUCAGUCAAGCCAGCUGUCAGACGCCGGGCAAGGUGGUGACUUUGUGACAUUGGCUUCUUACGCUCAAACAUGUCCUUGUCAGACACCUGACUGUGGGCAGAUGAGCAGGAACUGCUCAAGGCGAGAGACGGAGGGGCGGAUGGUUGAGAGGGGGCAAGGAGGACAGCAGUGGUUAACGUGGCUGAAGAUGCUGGACCAGGAGGAGGAUGGCGGCUUUGAGUUUGUGUGCUGCUUGUACUCAUGUGUUGAUCCAAUAGGCGUUUGUGAUGUGUGAUCAUGUGCCUUCGCAAAGCAGUUGUACCUAGGUGGGUGUUGGACUUCCCACGACUCAGUUUCUUUUGGCACAGGUUGCAAAUGGCAUCACUGUUGUCAGAGGCAGACACACAAAAAAAAUGCCACACUGCUGAGCUCUGCAAUGACGGCAUUCUGGUGGUGGCAACAGCAUGCGUUGAUUGGCGUGCUGUCUGGCUGACUCCGGGUGCCGAUGCAUGCUGUCUGACUUUGCCACUAGCUCCUUGCGACGACAUCCCCCUGCUUCCAACUCAUCUCCUCCUCCUCCUCCUCCUCCUCUCUGUCUCCCCAUCUGAACUUUCCCCCUGUUCUUCUUCUCUUCUAGCGGGCACCCACGUGACAUCCACAAACGCAUUGUUAUCAUCAACCGCUUCACUUGUAUCUGACAACUCAGCAAAGGAAGCAGCAGCGGGUACAACAUCAUCAUCAUCACACCGUACGUCCAUGUGUUUAAUGCUGCCUGACUGAGACAUAUACCUGUUAUCUACAUCCUCUGGCAAUAAUGGUUGCGCAUCACUCAUUUCUUCCAACUGAUGUGUAAAUAGCUCCUCUGACAUACCAAGUGAAGCUGCUGUGGUGCUAGUGUUGGUGGUGGCGGCAGUCGGCGAGUGGUAACUUGAGAGGUGCCCGAAGCUAAGCUGGAGGAGGAUGGUGCGUCAAAGUUCCGAGCGGAAGCUGUAGAAGAUUGGGUGUCCUGUGUUAGCUAUUGUGACACCAGUGAGUGAGUGGUGGCACUGGGCGGGCCCUGAAACGCAGACUCGUGAAGGAAACUGACUGCUAUUAUAUUACAGUCAAAAAAGUUUUGUUUUUUUUAAAUGCAAGCUAUUGUGACACCAGUGAGUGAGUGGUGGCACUGGGCAGGCCCUGAAACGCACACUCGUGAAGGAAUCUGACUGCUAUUAUAUUACAGUCCAAAAAGUUUUGUUUUUUUUAAAUGCAAGCUAUUGUGACACCAGUGAGGGAGUGGUGGCACUGGGCAGGCCCUGAAACGCACGCUAGUGAAGGAAACUGACUGCUAUUAUAUUACAGUCCAAAAAGUUUUGUUUUUUUUAAAUGCAAGCUAUUGUGACACCAGUGAGUGAGCGGUGGCACUGGGCAGGCCCUGAAACGCACACUAGUGAAGGAAACUGACUGCUAUUAUAUUACAGUCCAAAAAGUUUUUUUUUUUUUAAAUGCAAGCUAUUGUGACACCAGUGAGAUAGUGUUGGCACUGGGCAAGGCUGGCAGGCAGGCAACUGCAGUUACAUUACACAGAAGAAAAAAAAAAGCAGACUGAUGUUCUAGCCCUAAAAAGGGCUUUUUGGGGUGCUGUCCUUACAGCAGAGAUCAGAUGAGUCCUUCAGGACUGUAGUGGACACUGAAUACACUAGCCUAGCUAUCAAUUUCCCUAUCAAAUCAUCAGCAGCUACACUGUCCCUCCUCUCACUAAGAAUGCAGCUUCACAAUGAAUGUAAAAUGGAUGCUGUCCAGGAGGUGGGAGGGUCUGGGAGGGAGGGUCUGCUGCUUAUUGGCUGGAAUGUGUCUGCUGACUGUGAGGUACAGGGUUAAAGUUUACUCAAUGAGGACAAAUAGGGGGCGGACCGAACAGUGCAUAUGUUCACCAUCCGUGGCGAACGUGAACAAGCGAUGUUCGCAGGAACUAUUCGCCAGCAAACCGUUCGGGAUAUCACUAUCUGUAAUCCAAGUGAACACUAAUUGUACCAAUCACUAAUUAAAUACAUUUGAAAGUGUCCUUAUUCCACAGCCAAUACACCAACAUCUAAUGAGUGACCAGUCUGACCAAAACAAAUCAAUAAUUAGGAGAUGUAAUUAUGUAAUGAUCACUAUUCAAAACUUAGUGCUCUUGAGAUUCAAACAAGAUAGUUAAAUAUACACUCUAGUCACCAGAACCACCACAGCUUAAUGUAUUGGUUCUUGAGUAUAUAGCCCUUUCUUGCAGGGUCAGCAGUGUAAAUGCUGCCAUUUCAGAGAAAAGGUAAUGCUUAUAAAGAUGGCUAAGACCACCUCAACAAAUCAAUAUGAGGAGAGGUGCCCCGACUGGGCACCUCCGUUGAUGGACACUUCCUAGCUGACGCCGAGGACCAUAAGCACUGCACCAGACACAACAACCACCGCAGACUCCACAACCACUGUAGCUUAACUGGAGUCUCGCCGUCGUCCCUCCACCCUGGAUCAACCUCUGACUUCCAGGACCGUGUGGGCAAGACCUCUCCUCCAGGAGAGCGUAUCAGGAACAGCUCUUAAAAGUGCUAAGCGAUUAGAGCUCAGGGGAGUAUACAAAGUAUAGCAAUCCCCAGUGUGAUUUUAGCAGUUCCCUACAAUAGCGAGACAAGACUACGUAUUGAGGGUUAAGCAGAUCAGAAUGAACUGAGGGUUUAAUGUCUCUUUUAUAAGUUUAUAUAAGUUUUCCCACAAGGUUACCACCCAUAUGGACCUUGUGGAGCACAGGACUUAAAGUUACAAAGCCAAUCAAAACACUCUUGUACAGUUAGGCACUCCCAGAUAAUGUACACAAACACUCCCCUCUACCUGUGAUAAAAUUACCAAACACAAUGGGCUAACUCAAUUACCCACAGGCAGAAAACACAAAUUUUUCACAAAACACAGAAAACACCCCAAAACACCACAUAACCCCACAUAACACCCACAAAACACCAUACAUCACUGCAUAGCCCUGAUCUGGGUGAACAACAUAUCCAAAAAUCACCCUGAUCAGAGCAGGCGUUCAAAAGUUUUGUGGAAGUCACAUUUGACCGACUGCAAGCAUGGUUUUCAUGCCCAAAAUAGUUCCACAGAUUUAGGCUGUGCGACCGGUCUAUCUUCUCCUCUAUCCUGGUGAUAAUUGGCUUAAGUGGCUGUGGUAACUUAAUUAUCUCCAGGUACAGGAAAUAUCUCUAAGUCAAAAACUGUUACAAAAACCACAUAAAAAUACACAACUCUUAUAAUACAAUGUUUAACCUAUAUGUCCAACAUAUCCCCAGAUAGCUUGGAUCUGAGCGCUCAAUAUGUCCAAUGUUAAAAGUGCACUAUAGUACAAAUAAGGGUGGGGUCAGAAAAUAGCAGGGGCUGAUGGUCUGGCAGUGUUCCUGGGACAACGCCCUGCUGGAGAACAAUAGGACAGGAAAAGGGGGAGGGGAAGAGGCACAUUUUCCCAUGGAAGUCACUUUUUAAUAUGUCUUUUAGCCAUGGGCCAUACUCACAGGGCAGAAUGCUGGCAAUCAGGCCCCUCCAAAAGCCUGUGGCGAAGGGUAGUUUGUCCCAAUAAGUAUUAUUUUAAACAAUCUGCUCAUUAUUUCCUUAAUAUAAUAACAUGUCUCUCUUGUUAGUUUUUUUUUCUACAAAGGGGAAUAUGCCAUUACAGAAUAUAACUAUCCCUGCAACUCUGGUAAGAUCAUUGCAUUAUAAACUAUUGUUUGCAUUCUGCUCCUUACCCAAACCCUACAUGCACUAACACCACCAACAAGCUGUGUUACUUCACUGCAAUCUUUCAUCAACAUUAAUUCACAGACAAGCACACAAAUAAACAUGAUGUGUUACACAAGUAUACCCCUAAAUCUACAUUCAAGUAUAGUUAUGUACAUAUAUACUUUUCAUCAGCUCAAAACAGGGCCAAACAAAUACACAUAAAGGCCUAACAUAACUUUUAAAGUAAUAAAAAAUGAAUAAGAAGACCGGAUGGCAAAAAAAUAAUAAUCCAACUAGGCUCAUUGAGGACUCCACAAAGAGUUUACAUUGUAGGAAAAGCCCAGUGCUCUGAUUAGUUUGCUUUUAAGCAUGCCAACCAGAACAUUCUGACAGGUAAGUCUCACUUAAUUUGCACACACUUGUCUUGGGAUAAGUGAGAUUUGCCUGUCAGAAUGCUCCGACUGAAACUGCAAGCUUAAUCUUGAUGGGCAAAAUUUGAUUUUUUUUUUCUUUUGCUUCACAUUGUUUGUUUUAUUUUAUUUUUUCUAUUUUGUUUGUGAUACAGUUUGUAUUUAAAAAAAAUUAAGUUUUUUGGACCUUUAAUAUAACUAUUAAAAGGGACACUAUAGUCACCUGAACAACUUCAGCUUAAUGAGGUUGUUCAGUUGAGAACUAUAGCUCCCUGCAGCCUUUCUCAUCUAAACACUGUAUUUUCUGAGAAAAUACAGUGUUUACAUUGAAAGCUAGGAACACCUCCAGUUGCAGUCACUCAGAGUGAACCAGAGGGACUUCUGAGUUGAUGGAGGCAUAAUAUGCCUCCAUCCACUCAGAUCUGCUGUGCACAGCAUCCUGUGAUUCAGUAUCUCCUCCCUCUGCAUGCAGACACUGAGCUUUCCUCAUAGAGAUUAAUUGAUUCAAUUCAUCUCUAUGAGGAGAUGCUGAAUGGCCAGGGCUGUGUUUGAAUCAUGCUGGCUCUGCCCCUGAUCUGCCUCUUUGUCAGUCUCAGCCAAUCCUAUGGGGAAGCACUGUGAUUGGAUCAGGCUACCACAUGUUAGCAGACUGCUUGUUUUUCUGAGUCUAACAGCAUGCAGAUUUACAGCUUCAGGCAUGAAUACAGUAAGAUUUUUAAUAUAUAUUUAUGGAGGCAUGAGGGGCGCAGGGGGGCUAGAUGGUGGUGUUAACACUAAAGGGUCAGGAAUCAUCGUUAUCACACUAUUCAGGCUGUCAAACAGUUAACCGGUCUAGUUAUGUCCAGGUAGAUAAGCUCAGUUGAGCUAAACUCAAGAGGCAGGCAUCUGUGCAGAGAACCUGCCUUGCAAAGACUUCUCAUCAAACGGCAUUGGAAAGUCUUUGAUUGGACAGCCACAGAAAGUCUGGGUGGGCUUAGAAGAGGAGGAGUUGCAAUGACUUCAAACAGCAGAUUUAACACUUUUGCAAGCUGGUUUUAUGAAUUACAUGCAUGCAUGAUUAUGUUUGGGGAUUGGGUAUUAUCUACUAAACAGUGAUUUUAUUUUUGUUUGAAAAGUGCCGUGUCUCUUUAAACUACAUGAAAAUAUCAAUGUCAACGUCAUUACUAUCAGGAGAAUUUCUUAAUGCUGCUUAAUACUUGACUUUGUUUUUUUUAGAUGAAAAUGCAAGCAAUAAAACAUGAAGACUGGAAAAGCAGUAUUAUCUGAAAAUAAGAGAAAAACCAGUGGAUGUUCAUAAAAAUAUUUGUAUUAUCAUGAAAUAAAUAUGAUUGUCUUCUUCA
Non-coding RNA from Pelobates cultripes (western spadefoot toad), 9361 nucleotides. NCBI's taxonomy places the organism in Eukaryota, Metazoa, Chordata, Amphibia, Anura, Pelobatidae. The record is from the annotation of a GenBank genome assembly.